This is a long non-coding RNA of Halichondria panicea, 782 nucleotides long. RefSeq lists it as uncharacterized. The transcript has 3 exons. NCBI's taxonomy places the organism in Eukaryota, Metazoa, Porifera, Demospongiae, Suberitida, Halichondriidae. The record is from RefSeq and is a predicted model, not a curated record.
AUAGUAGUAUUACUCGAAGUAUAAAAAAAAAACUACUGGCCAGUAGCAACUAAGGAACUACUACCACAGUGUAGUAGGGCUGCUGACUUUCAAAUGAAAGACAGUAGGGCUACCACCUAAUGAAAGGCAGUAGGGCUACCACCUAAUGAAAGGUAGUAGGAUCUCCUGCUGACUAUCACAAUGAAAGACAGUAGGAAGUGGAUGACCAGUUUCCCGACCAUGCACUACAGCUCCGGAGCCCCGGUUUAUAACCCACACGCUACAUGGGUGAACUGCAACAAGUCAAAAACGUAGGAGGAAGGGGAUCUUUUAGCCUCGAUCUCAGGCCGCACUGAAGAUGAGGCCUAGUACUAUACUAUAGCUGUAGUAUAUAUUAAAUAGUAGCUCUCUGAGCUGAGGAAGAGACACAGAAAAAACUGAUUAUAACGUACUUGGUUGGGUAUCAGGUAAAGUGCUACGAUCGAAAGAGUGAAAUAAUACAGCAAACAGAGAAGAGGCCUAAUCCAAGCUCUCUAUUGUGUGUGUGGCUGACUGGUACAUGGUGUCAGUUCUCAGUGAGCGCCCCCUCAAGGUUCAAGGUCUGGGGGGGUUAAGUUCUGGGGUUCAUGGUUGCCUGCUAGGGGGUCAACGGAGGUGUAUCAGAAAUCAGCAGAAAACUGUUCCCUCCCUCCUCAUAAAGCUACCACUGUUUGGUGGAGGUCAGCCUUGAUGAAAAAAACGAAGAAGAAACUCUCUAUCUUCUCUCGUUUAUGUCCAUAGGGAAGCAAGGACUCGACCUGUAU